UAAAAUAAUUAAGGGCACACAAAGGAUGCCUAGGUAGUAAGAGCCGAUGAAGGACGUGGUAAGCUGCGAUAAGCCUAGAUAAGUUGCAAUCGAACGUAAGAGUCUAGGAUUUCCGAAUGGAGCAAUCUAUUAAGAUGGAGUCUUAAUACGAAAGAGGGAACCGCGUGAACUGAAACAUCUAAGUAAUGCGAGGAAAAGAAAGUAAAAACGAUACCCAAAGUAGCGGCGAGCGAACUGGGUCAAGCCUAAACCUUAAAUAUGUCAAGGAUACAGCCGUUGUAUUUAAGGGGUUGUGGGACUAAGUUGUGAAGAACUGUAAGAUAUUCAAUAUAGUGUAUUGAUGAAUUAGAAUUGUAUGGAAAGAUAAACCGUAGAAGGUGAGAGUCCUGUAUAAGUAAAUCCUUACACAUAUAACUUGGCUCCCAAGUAGCAUGGAACACGAGGAAUUCUGUGUGAAUCAGUGAGGACCAUAUCUCAUAAGGCUAAAUACUCUUACUAACCGAUAGCGCAUAGUACCGUGAGGGAAAGGUGAAAAGAACCCCUGGAGGGGAGUGAAAUAGAACCUGAAAUUGUGUGCUUACAAGCGGUCAAAGCCCAUUUGGGUGAUGGCGUGCCUUUUGGAGAAUGAUCCUGCGAGUUACGUUAAACGGCGAGGUUAAGUAUAACGGAGCCGAAGGGAAACCAAGUCUUAAUAGGGCGAUAUAGUCGUUUGGCGUAGACGCGAAACCUGGUGAUCUAAACCUGUCCAGGAUGAAGCUGUGGUAAGACACAGUGGAGGUCCUAACCCACCGCCGUUGAAAAGUUGGGGGAUGAGGUAGGUUUAGGGGUGAAAAGCCAAUCGAACCAGGAGAUAGCUCGUUCUCUCCGAAAUGCAUCUAGGUGCAGCCUUGAGUGUUCAAUUAUGGGGGUAGAGCACUGAAUGAUCUAGGGGGCAUAUUGCUUACUGAAAUCAAUCAAACUCCAAAUACCAUAAUUUAUAGCUCAGGAGUGAGACCAUGGGAGUUAACUUCCAUUGUCAAAAGGGAAACAACCCAGACCACCAGCUAAGGUCCCUAAUUAUAACUAAGUGGGAAAGGAGGUGGAGAUUCACAAACAACUAGGAGGUUGGCUUAGAAGCAGCCAUACCUUUAAAGAGUGCGUAAUAGCUCACUAGUCGAGAGUCUCUGCGCCGACAAUGUAACGGGGCUAAGUUAUAAACCGAAGCUGUGGAAUCCUUAUGGAUUGGUAGGAGAGCGUUCUGUAGGCCGUUGAAGAAGAAGGGUAACCAACUUUGGAGGUAUCAGAAGUGAGAAUGCAGGAAUAAGUAGCGAGAAAGGGGGCGAGAAUCCCCCUCGCCGGAAGACCAAGGUUUUCAGGGUAAAGCUUGUCUUCCCUGAGUAAGCCGGGACCUAAGCCCAGGCUAUAAUGCGUAGGCGAAUGGAAAACAGAUUAAUAUUUCUGUGCCAGUCAUUUAUUGUGAUGGAGGGACGCAGAAGGGUAUGUGCGCGGACGAUCGGUUGUGUCCGUAGAAGUAUGUAGGGUGACUUAGUAGGAAAAUCCAUUAAGUUAUAUCUGAGGUAUGAUAUACAGUCGUAAGAUGAAUGUGCAAAUCCCACGCUGCCAAGAAAAACUUCUAGCGUUAAUAUAUGACUGCCCGUACUGUAAACCGACACAGGUGGUCAGGAUGAGAAAUCUAAGGCGGACAGGCUAACUCUCGUUAAGGAACUCUGCAAAAUAACCUCGUAACUUCGGGAGAAGAGGAGCCCUUGUGUGUGAGUAUACAUGCGAUACAAAGCGCACGAGGGUCGCAGUGAAGAGGCUCAAGCAACUGUUUAACAAAAACACAGGUCUAUGCUAAGCUGUAAGGCGAUGUAUAUGGGCUGACACCUGCCCAGUGCUGGAAGGUUAAGAGGAGGAGUGAGAGCUCCGAAUUGAAGCCCCAGUGAACGGCGGCCGUAACUAUAACGGUCCUAAGGUAGCGAAAUUCCUUGUCGGGUAA
RNAcentral lists this ribosomal RNA (1978 nucleotides) under human oral metagenome. RNAcentral's name for it is "bacterial LSU rRNA". It matches the Rfam family "Bacterial large subunit ribosomal RNA", at positions 1 to 1979 of the family's 2925-position model. The record is from RNAcentral.